GGACCACAGCUUAGUGGUAGAGCAUCUGUCUUGAAUGUAGAAGGUCCCAGGUUCAACCCACGGCAUCUCCA
Molecule: non-coding RNA, 71 nt
Organism: Podarcis lilfordi (Lilford's wall lizard)
Lineage: Eukaryota; Metazoa; Chordata; Lepidosauria; Squamata; Lacertidae
Source: the annotation of a GenBank genome assembly